AAUUGGAGAUGAGAUUUGGGUGGAGACACCAAGCCAAACCAUAUCAGGACUCCAGCAAUUCUUUCUCUCACCUGCUCUAUCUCUUAUUCCCCUCUACUGCAUCUAUACCAACUAAAAGAAAAACACUUCUUGGACACACAAGAGCUGUCAUCUUUUGUGUUUGCCAAACUUUUAAGGGAAACCCUAUGAAAGGGGUGCCUACACAGUCCCCACAUCCUACCACACUUCUUUCCCUCACUGCCACUCAAACCUGACUUCUGUCACUAGGGUCAUAAUGCCUUCUGCAUGACCUAACUCAGCCCUGCCUCUGCCCAUUGAUCUGACCCCUAAUUAUGUGGUCACUGGAAGCUGCUCUCAGGUGUCCUUGCCCAAAGGGACUUACAGCACACAGCCUGUGGAGGGUGGAGGAACCAACUGCAAGAUCACUUGUCCUCGUCAAUUAAUGUACACUGGAGAAAGAACUACCUUCGGGCUGUGAGGUCAUCGUAUAAUCCUGACCACUCAUUUCCCAUCAUGAGACUGCUGUUCCUUCUGUUUCUCCUUCUUGGAUGUCUAAUACAAACAGCCUCAGGAUAUGAGAGAAAGGAUAGAUUCCAUGAAUGUGAACACAUGGGUGGUGUCUGCAGGCACCAAAAAACCCACGGUUGCUCUAUCCUGCCUGCACAGUGCAAAAGCCGGUACAAACACUGCUGUAGGUUGUAGCUGCAACAGCUGGAGGGGCCUCAGGGUAGCCCAAGAGAACCACAGCCCCUGACUUCUGCUUAAUAAAGGCAUCACCACCCAUGUGGACCCUCUUUCUGAUAACGUGCUUAAUUUUUAGACCAUUGAACCAGAGGCAGGAGAAUGUAGAAUCUGGAUUUGGUCACACCACUAACUCCCUGAUUGAUUUUGGAUAAGACCUUUCUUUUCCUAGAUUUCAGUUUCUUUCCCUCUAACCACUGACAUGGGUAUUCUCUAAGACACCUGUACGCUGUUCAUAUGUCUGUGAAUCUAUGGAAUUUUGGAUGAAGGGUGUGUGUGUGUGUGUGUGUGUGUGUGUGUGUUUGUGUGUUGGCUAUAAGUUAAAAAGUCACAGAGGUUUUAUUUUUGUUUUCAUUUUGAAGACAGGGUCUCACUUUGUCUCCCAGCCUGGAGUGCAGUGGCACAAU
Long non-coding RNA from Cercocebus atys (sooty mangabey), 1148 nucleotides. RefSeq lists it as uncharacterized. The transcript is spliced from 3 exons. NCBI's taxonomy places the organism in Eukaryota, Metazoa, Chordata, Mammalia, Primates, Cercopithecidae. The record is from RefSeq and is a predicted model, not a curated record.